Molecule: ribosomal RNA, 309 nt
Filed under: uncultured bacterium
Lineage: Bacteria
Description: bacterial SSU rRNA
Rfam family: Bacterial small subunit ribosomal RNA
Source: RNAcentral
GACGAACGCUGGCGGCGCGCCUAACACAUGCAAGUCGAACGAGCGAGAGAGAGCUUGCUUUCUCGAGCGAGUGGCGAACGGGUGAGUAACGCGUGAGGAACCUGCCUCAAAGAGGGGGACAACAGUUGGAAAUGACUGCUAAUACCGCAUAAGACCACAGCACCGCAUGGUGCAGGGGUAAAAACUCCGGUGGUAUGAGAUGGACCCGCGUCUGAUUAGGUAGUUGGUGGGGUAACGGCCUACCAAGCCGACGAUCAGUAGCCGACCUGAGAGGGUGACCGGCCACAUUGGGACUGAGACACGGCCCAA